CCUCUAUAAAAGGAAGUGUGUGUAGCAUAAAUUGAGUUCAGUUUUUACUUGAUCAUUCAUCCCCAUUUCAAUACAACCUUCAUCCAAACACAUCCAUUCAUCUUUACAUCCAUUCCUUCAUAUAAACAAACCUUCAAACACUCACCAACACCUUGUGCCGUAGCAAAGGAAGGGAAGGAAAGUGCUUGGACGUGCUUGCUGUCCAACUUGGAUUGUUGGAGCAUUUAGGUGUUUUCUUUCUUUUGUUUCUAAUGUUUAAAUUCAUUUCCUUUCGUUUUGUUGUAAAUAUGAGUGGCUAAACCCCUCUUGGCUAGGGGUGAUUUCAAAGCCAUGAUUAUGUGUGCAAUAUAAUUUGAUAAAUUCCAAUUAUGAACUCUUGAAUCGUGAAUGCAAUUGGCUUAACUAUUUGAUUGAUAACUUAUUUGUAUUUGUUAAUUAAGGGUCGACACUUAAUUGGCAUGCAUAAAUCCGUUGUUAGAAUAUAAGGAAGUUUCACAUAAUCAUUACAAACUUAUAUUCACAUGUAGUGAAGGUCGCUUAUAAACGAUCACGUUAAGUUCACUUCCUAGCAUAAGCGACAUGAUGUCAUAGUUGCAAGUGCUUUGUCAAU
Molecule: long non-coding RNA, 610 nt
Filed under: Malus domestica (apple)
Lineage: Eukaryota; Viridiplantae; Streptophyta; Magnoliopsida; Rosales; Rosaceae
Description: long non-coding RNA (MDOM_LNC000376)
Source: RNAcentral